AUUGAACGCUGGCGGCAGGCCUAACACAUGCAAGUCGAACGAGUGGCGGACGGGUGAGUAAUGUCUGGGAAACUGCCUGAUGGAGGGGGAUAACAACUGGAAACGGUAGCUAAUACCGCAUACCAUGGGAUGUGCCCAGAUGGGAUUAGAUAGUAGGUGGGGUAAAGGCUCACCUAGGCGACGCUCCCUAGCUGGUCUGAGAGGAUGACAAGCCACACUGGAAUGGAGCCACGGUACAGACUCCUACGGGAGGCAGCAGUGGGGAAUAGUGCACAAUGGGCGCAAGCCUGAUGUAGCCCUGCCGCGUGUAUGAAGAGGGCCUUCGGGUUGUAAAGUACUUUCAGCGGGGAGGCGUUACCCGCAGAAGAAGCACCGGCUAACUCCGUGCCAGCAGCCGCGGUAAUUC
RNAcentral lists this ribosomal RNA (406 nucleotides) under uncultured bacterium. RNAcentral's name for it is "partial 16S ribosomal RNA". It matches the Rfam family "Bacterial small subunit ribosomal RNA", at positions 30 to 526 of the family's 1533-position model. The record is from RNAcentral.